GGCGGCGUAGCUCAGCUGGCUAGAGCGUACGGUUCAUACCCGUAAGGUCGGGGGUUCGAUUCCCUCCGCCGCUAC
Molecule: transfer RNA, 75 nt
Filed under: Anoxybacillus ayderensis
Lineage: Bacteria; Bacillati; Bacillota; Bacilli; Caryophanales; Anoxybacillaceae
Also listed under: 4 other names
Description: tRNA-Met
Rfam family: tRNA
About the family: Transfer RNA (tRNA) molecules are approximately 80 nucleotides in length. Their secondary structure includes four short double-helical elements and three loops (D, anti-codon, and T loops).
Source: RNAcentral